UCACGUGGGGGCGUGCUAUACAUGCAAGUAGAACGCUGAAGAGAGGAGCUUGCUCUUCUUGGAUGAGUUGCGAACGGGUGAGUAACGCGUAGGUAACCUGCCUUGUAGCGGGGGAUAACUAUUGGAAACGAUAGCUAAUACCGCAUAACAAUGGAUGACACAUGUCAUUUAUUUGAAAGGGGCAAUUGCUCCACUACAAGAUGGACCUGCGUUGUAUUAGCUAGUAGGUGAGGUAACGGCUCACCUAGGCGACGAUACAUAGCCGACCUGAGAGGGUGAUCGGCCACACUGGGACUGAGACACGGCCCAGACUCCUACGGGAGGCAGCAGUAGGGAAUCUUCGGCAAUGGGGGCAACCCUGACCGAGCAACGCCGCGUGAGUGAAGAAGGUUUUCGGAUCGUAAAGCUCUGUUGUAAGUCAAGAACGAGUGUGAGAGUGGAAAGUUCACACUGUGACGGUAGCUUACCAGAAAGGGACGGCUAACUACGUGCCAGCAGCCGCGGUAAUACGUAGGUCCCGAGCGUUGUCCGGAUUUAUUGGGCGUAAAGCGAGCGCAGGCGGUUUGAUAAGUCUGAAGUUAAAGGCUGUGGCUCAACCAUAGUUCGCUUUGGAAACUGUCAAACUUGAGUGCAGAAGGGGAGAGUGGAAUUCCAUGUGUAGCGGUGAAAUGCGUAGAUAUAUGGAGGAACACCGGUGGCGAAAGCGGCUCUCUGGUCUGUAACUGACGCUGAGGCUCGAAAGCGUGGGGAGCGAACAGGAUUAGAUACCCUGGUAGUCCACGCCGUAAACGAUGAGUGCUAGGUGUUGGAUCCUUUCCGGGAUUCAGUGCCGCAGCUAACGCAUUAAGCACUCCGCCUGGGGAGUACGACCGCAAGGUUGAAACUCAAAGGAAUUGACGGGGGCCCGCACAAGCGGUGGAGCAUGUGGUUUAAUUCGAAGCAACGCGAAGAACCUUACCAGGUCUUGACAUCCCGAUGCUAUUUCUAGAGAUAGAAAGUUACUUCGGUACAUCGGUGACAGGUGGUGCAUGGUUGUCGUCAGCUCGUGUCGUGAGAUGUUGGGUUAAGUCCCGCAACGAGCGCAACCCCUAUUGUUAGUUGCCAUCAUUCAGUUGGGCACUCUAGCGAGACUGCCGGUAAUAAACCGGAGGAAGGUGGGGAUGACGUCAAAUCAUCAUGCCCCUUAUGACCUGGGCUACACACGUGCUACAAUGGUUGGUACAACGAGUUGCGAGUCGGUGACGGCAAGCUAAUCUCUUAAAGCCAAUCUCAGUUCGGAUUGUAGGCUGCAACUCGCCUACAUGAAGUCGGAAUCGCUAGUAAUCGCGGAUCAGCACGCCGCGGUGAAUACGUUCCCGGGCCUUGUACACACCGCCCGUCACACCACGAGAGUUUGUAACACCCGAAGUCGGUGAGGUAACCUUUUGGAGCCAGCCGCCUAAGUUGGAAAAAA
Molecule: ribosomal RNA, 1453 nt
Filed under: Streptococcus salivarius
Lineage: Bacteria; Bacillati; Bacillota; Bacilli; Lactobacillales; Streptococcaceae
Description: bacterial SSU rRNA
Rfam family: Bacterial small subunit ribosomal RNA
Source: RNAcentral